AUACGAAGGGGGCAAGCGUUGUUCGGAAUAACUGGGCGUAAAGCGCACGUAGGCGGAAUGUUAAGUUAGAGGUGAAAUCCCAGGGCUCAACCCUGGAACGGCCUUUAAUACUGGCAAUCUAGAGACCGAGAGAGGUGAGUGGAAUUCCGAGUGUAGAGGUGAAAUUCGUAGAUAUUCGGAGGAACACCAGUGGCGAAGGCGGCUCACUGGCUCGGUACUGACGCUGAGGUGCGAAAGCGUGGAGCAAACAGGAUUAGAAACCCUAGUAGUCC
Molecule: ribosomal RNA, 272 nt
Filed under: uncultured bacterium
Lineage: Bacteria
Description: partial 16S ribosomal RNA
Rfam family: Bacterial small subunit ribosomal RNA
Source: RNAcentral